This 1697-nucleotide long non-coding RNA is filed under the name Homo sapiens (human). RNAcentral describes it as "HSALNT0398811". Lineage: Eukaryota; Metazoa; Chordata; Mammalia; Primates; Hominidae. The record is from RNAcentral.
CAGAGAAUCAAGCGGUUGCCUUCUGAGGGCUGAAGCGUAUAUCAGUACCAGAACCAGCUGGGGACUUUUCUCAGAUCUUCACUGUGAGAACCUGCUAGAGUCCUUGGAGAUAAAACUCACGAAAGUGUAAAGAUAGCUCUAUGGCAAGGUCUUCUUGGAGUUUUUAAUUCUCAGACUUAACCACAUUCAGCUUCCAGCAAUUCAUCAAUUAGAGUUCAGGUUUUCCUAACCUUGUUCUGGUUCCUGCAGAGGCACAAAGAUUACUGCUUGUGAGUUUCUGCUCUGGAAUGGAUGUUUUCUUUUAAAAAUGGUUUAUUGAAGUAUCAUGUACCUAUCUUAAGUGUACAGCACGAUGAUGUGUAUGCCCAUGUAACCAUCACCUAGAAGGAUGAGAACCACAAGCAUGAGAACAUGAGGAUAAAUACACUUUGGGGAAAAAGAAAACAGACAGAGGCAGCAGAGAAGGAAGACGAGAAGAAGAGAAAAAGAGAAGUAGGAAGAGGAUGAAUUCAUUUCGCUUAUCUGGCAAAUGUGUAAUCUGAGUAAUAGAGAAUCAUCCAGAGCUCCUGUGCUAUAAUGGCAGUUUGAACCGCUGGAGCCGAGAUUUGAGCCCCGGGACCCAUCAGUCCUGCUGGACCGUCUGUGAAACUGGUCCUGAACCCAGUGACCUCCGCCUCUGGGGGCAAUUCCAUCUCCAGUGGUUUUUGCCACAGGCUGGACAGGGUCGAAGUUGCUUCGUCUUGCUGCCUGGGCAAUCCUUAAAAUGCCCUGGCCUGCCACAUCAAUAGCAACUAGCAGAUGCACCUUGGGGAUUCUGGAUGUUGCAAGCCUGCAAAGCUGCUGCUAGAGCCUCUGUCCGUCUCCCGAGCUUGCUCUCUUUCUUUUGGGCAUCCUCCUCCUGGUCCAUAUUAUUAAAGACCGAAGUGGCCACUUUCAGGAGGCUCUCUAAGGUGCUGUCUGGUCCUGUACCUUGGUUUUGUAGUUUCCUUCUACUAUCAGGAGCUGCCUUGUGUAAUAAACUUGUCCUUCAGGAUGAGCUGUUCCUCAACUGAAUUACGGGAUAAGGAGGUAUACUCUAUUAGUGCCUUUCCAUAAAGGCUACAGGAGUCUUAUCUGGCUUUUGGUCCAUUAUAGACAGUUUAGAGUAUGAUACCUUGUUUUAACCUGAAUUGACUCUCCCUUAGCUGAGAGAGCCAGACAGACACCAUCUUGGCUCCUUCACUUACAGCCCCUUACUCACCCCCUUCCUCAAGGACUUAACUUGUGCAAGCUGACUCCCAGCACAUCCAAGAGUGCAAUUAACUGAUAAGAUACUGUGGCAAGCUAUAUCUGCAGUUCCUAGGAAUUUGCCCAGUUGAUAGCACCCAGAGCCCCCCGCGUUUGUGUCCGGUUGAUAACACCCAAAGCCCCGCGCCUAUCACCUUGUGAUGGAUUUAAAACCCCUGCACCUGGAACCGUUUGCUUUCCUGUAACCAUUUAUCCUUUUUACUUUUUGCCUGCUUUAUUUCUGUAAGAUUGUUUUAACUAGACUCCCCCCACUCCCCUUUCUAAACCAAAGUAUAAAAGAAAAUCUAACCCCUUCUUCAGGGCCGAGAGAAUCUUGAGCACUAGCCGUCUCUCGGUCUCUGGCUAAUAAAGGACUCCUGAAUUUGUCUCAGCGUGUGGCGUUUCUCUGUAACUUGCUCGGUUACAACAAG